This 222-nucleotide ribosomal RNA is filed under the name uncultured bacterium. RNAcentral describes it as "partial 16S ribosomal RNA". It matches the Rfam family "Bacterial small subunit ribosomal RNA", at positions 109 to 334 of the family's 1533-position model. The record is from RNAcentral.
AGUAAUGCUUGGGAAUCUGGCUUAUGGAGGGGGAUAACGACGGGAAACUGUCGCUAAUACUGCGUAUUAUCGGAAGAUGAAAGUGCGGGACUGAGAGGCCGCAUGCCAUAGGAUGAGCCCAAGUGGGAUUAGGUAGUUGGUGGGGUAAAGGCCUACCAAGCCUGCGACCUCUAGCUGGUCUGAGAGGAUGACCAGCCACACUGGAACUGAGACACGGUCCAG